GACGAACGCUGGCGGCGUGCUUAACACAUGCAAGUCGAACGGAAAGGCCUGCUUUCCCUUGUGGAUUGCGGGUACUCGAGUGGCGAACGGGUGAGUACCACGUGAGUGAUCUGCCCCCAACUUGGGUAUAAGCCUGGGAAACUGGGUCUAAUUCCCGAUAGGACUGCAGGGUGGUGCCUGUGGUGGAACACGAUUUUCUAGUGGUUGGGGAUGAGCUCGCGGCCUAUCAGCUUGUUGGUGGGGUAAUGGCCUACCAAGGCGGCGACGGGUAGCCGGCCUGAGAGGGUGGACGGCCACAUUGGGACUGAGAUACGGCCCAGACUCCUACGGGAGGCAGCAGUGGGGAAUAGUGCACAAUGGGCGGAAGCCUGAUGCAGCGACGCCGCGUGGGGGAUGACGGCCUUCGGGUUGUAAACUCCUUUCGACCGCGAGGAAGCCACCUGGUUGGAAGGGUGGUGACGGUAGUGGUAGAAGAAGCACCGGCUAACUACGUG
This 494-nucleotide ribosomal RNA is filed under the name uncultured bacterium. RNAcentral's name for it is "partial 16S ribosomal RNA". It matches the Rfam family "Bacterial small subunit ribosomal RNA", at positions 28 to 507 of the family's 1533-position model. The record is from RNAcentral.